ACACGACUACAUUAGAUACCCGCGUAGUCCUAGCCGUAAACGAUACUCGCUAGGUGUCGGCCACGGUGCGACCGUUGUCGGUGCCGUAGGGAAGCCGUGAAGCGAGCCACCUGGGAAGUACGGCCGCAAAGGCUGGAAACUUAAAGGAAUUGGCGGGGGAGCACAACAACGGGUGGAGCUUGCGGUUUAAUUGGAUUCAACGCCGGAAAUCUUACCGGGACCGACAGCAACAUGAAGGCCAAGCUGAAGACUUUGCCGGAUUAGCUG
This 267-nucleotide ribosomal RNA is filed under the name uncultured archaeon. Its description in RNAcentral is "partial 16S ribosomal RNA". It matches the Rfam family "Archaeal small subunit ribosomal RNA", at positions 717 to 982 of the family's 1478-position model. The record is from RNAcentral.